AUGAACGCUGGCGGCGUGCCUAAUACAUGCAAGUCGAGCGAACGGACGAGAAGCUUGCUUCUCUGAUGUUAGCGGCGGACGGGUGAGUACCACGUGGAUAACCUACCUAUAAGACUGGGAUAACUUCGGGAAACCGGAGCUAAUACCGGAUAAUAUUUUGAACCGCAUGGUUCAAAAGUAAAAGACGGUCUUGCUGUCACUUUUAGAUGGAUCCGCGCUGCAUUAGCUAGUUGGUAAGGUAACGGCUUACCAAGGCAACGAUGCGUAGCCGACCUGAGAGGGUGAUCGGCCACACAGGAACUGAGACACGGUCCAGACGCCUACGGGAGGCAGCAGUAGGGAAUCUUCCGCAAUGGGCGAAAGCCUGACGGAGCAACGCCGCGUGAGUGAUGAAGGUCUUCGGAUCGUAAAACUCUGUUAUUAGGGAAGAACAUAUGUGUAAGUAACUGUGCACAUCUUGACGGUACCUAAUCAGAAAGCCACGGCUAACUACGUG
This 496-nucleotide ribosomal RNA is filed under the name uncultured bacterium. Its description in RNAcentral is "partial 16S ribosomal RNA". It matches the Rfam family "Bacterial small subunit ribosomal RNA", at positions 29 to 507 of the family's 1533-position model. The record is from RNAcentral.